Molecule: long non-coding RNA, 193 nt
Filed under: Ictidomys tridecemlineatus (thirteen-lined ground squirrel)
Lineage: Eukaryota; Metazoa; Chordata; Mammalia; Rodentia; Sciuridae
Description: lncRNA (ENSSTOG00000032662.1)
Source: RNAcentral
AAAAAAUGCAUUUGCAGUAUUGAAGUGUAACAUUGCAGGAUCCUUUUAGAGAAAUAUGGCAGCAGGAAGUUGCCAGAAAGUCUUAUUUGCCUUGCUGAAAUGUCUGUCUGCCUUAGAUGUGUGUGUUCUGAGGAUGUUUAGUUCAAGAGAGGAUGAUUUUGUCACAAGACAUUCAGAGCCCCAUAUUUUGUGA